GAUGAACGCUAGCGGCAGGCUUAACACAUGCAAGUCGAGGGGCAGCACGGGUAGCAAUACCUGGUGGCGACCGGCGCAAGGGUGCGUAACGCGUGAGCAACAUGCCCUAUACAGGGGGAUAAUCCAGGGAAACUUGGUCUAAUAUCCCAUAGCAUUUAGAGGAGGCAUCUUCACUAAAUUAAAGCUUCGGUGGUAUAGGAUUGGCUCGCGUGACAUUAGCUAGAUGGUGAGGUAACGGCCCACCAUGGCUAUGAUGUCUAGGGGUUCUGAGAGGAAGACCCCCCACACUGGGACUGAGACACGGCCCAGACUCCUACGGGAGGCAGCAGUGAGGAAUAUUGGACAAUGGAUGGAAGUCUGAACCAGCCAUGUCGCGUGAAGGAGGACGGCCCUAAGGGUUGUAAACUUCUUUUGCAGGGGGAUAAAGUAUUCCACGAGAUGGGAUAUUGCAAGUACGCUGCGAAUAAGGAUCGGCUAACUCCGUGCC
This 487-nucleotide ribosomal RNA is filed under the name uncultured bacterium. Its description in RNAcentral is "bacterial SSU rRNA". It matches the Rfam family "Bacterial small subunit ribosomal RNA", at positions 28 to 509 of the family's 1533-position model. The record is from RNAcentral.